UUGCUUUAGCUGCACAUACACUAAAAUUGGAAUGAAAUGGACAAGAUUAGCAUGAUCCAUGAACAAAGGACAUGACAGAUAAUUUAAGGAUUGUUUGUUUUGUUU
Molecule: small nuclear RNA, 105 nt
Organism: Perognathus longimembris pacificus (Pacific pocket mouse)
Lineage: Eukaryota; Metazoa; Chordata; Mammalia; Rodentia; Heteromyidae
Source: RefSeq, a predicted model, not a curated record